CCCCACGGUGAGGGGGAGCAGGAGCAGGGUGGAGGGGGAGCCGUGCUCGGGGCUGGCGUUGCUGGAGUUGGAGCUGGUGCCGUUAGCCGCCCGGACCACCUAACGGAGAAGAAACAGUUAGAAGAGGAAUCGGACAUAACGAGGGAAAACGGUUGCAGAACGAGUCAGGAUUGGGUGGUUAUUUGGACCAUGCAUGGUUGGAUAUAGCAGUGUGGAGCAGAGGGAGCAGCAGGGAGAAGGAGCUCAUCAUCCCAGUGGAUCCACUGUUGCUAGCCUUCCUGGUGGUAGAGACGAUGUGGUGGGCUGGUUCUACUGAAAACCCGACACAAGGACACAUUCUUCUAAAAGUGAACAUAAUUAAAGAAACCAACCUGUGAGGGACAGCCAGCAGGUAAACUGCCAGGAGGGCAGCUGUCAUCUUGUUUGCCGUUGAAGCAGACCACCAAUGAAUUAUUUCAGCUGGUUUAUUUAAUGACUGAAGAAAAAGUACCUGCCAAGAUAUUUAUACGCCUAUAAAAAAUUCAUAUAUGAUUUCCCACACAUGUAAAUCUUUGGGUCAUCUUUUGUGGUAUUUGCAUGGCAAAUGGUCUCACUAUUGUUAUUACCUGCAGCAAAAAUGUCGUAUUGGUUCCAUUUACAAGACAACACUUCGACUUCCUUAGAAGAGAAGCUGGAAAAUAUCCCAAUUUUUGUUUUUGUCCA
This is a non-coding RNA of Nothobranchius furzeri (turquoise killifish), 702 nucleotides long. The record is from RefSeq and is a predicted model, not a curated record. NCBI's taxonomy places the organism in Eukaryota, Metazoa, Chordata, Actinopteri, Cyprinodontiformes, Nothobranchiidae.